GUGCUCACUUCAGCAGCACAUAUACUAAAAUUGGAACGAUACAGAGAAGAUUAGCAAUUCUAUUUAAAAUAAAUAAAAAAUUUUA
RNAcentral lists this small nuclear RNA (85 nucleotides) under Gorilla gorilla gorilla (western lowland gorilla). The record is from RNAcentral. Lineage: Eukaryota; Metazoa; Chordata; Mammalia; Primates; Hominidae.